UUGCCAGCCUCAAGCCAGCAACAGACAAAGAAUUCUGCUGCUGUCCAACUGAAUUAGCUCUCGAUUCACUAUACCCCUAUACGUUUUAACCAAAAAUCAUCAAAACUUCAAUCUACAAAUUUUACAUCUAAAAGUCUUCAAUGGAUUAUAUUUUAUCUGCAUUUUACAACAUUCCAGGGGUAGACUAUUCCAUCCUGGGUAAUCCUACGCUGUGCGCCCAAGAUGCCAGGAGAAAAGACAACAGAGCAUAUCUACCACAGAAGAAGGAGGUAAAGAAUGCAUCGCUCCCCUAUUUCAGACUGUGGAAGAGGUUCUGCAGCCUAUCCCGACUCGGAUCACUGGGACAGUCCCUGAAUGGAUAAAGGGCAGCCUGCUCCGCAACGGUCCUGGCAAAUUUGAGUUUGGAAAUGACAAGUGAGAUCAGAUUAAAUUCUAUGUAAUUCCCUUACAGUCUGACAUGAGUAUUUCUAUCAACCAAUAAAUUACCUGUUUAAGGGAAUGUA
Long non-coding RNA from Pseudophryne corroboree (corroboree frog), 503 nucleotides. RefSeq lists it as uncharacterized. The transcript has 2 exons. The record is from RefSeq and is a predicted model, not a curated record. Lineage: Eukaryota; Metazoa; Chordata; Amphibia; Anura; Myobatrachidae.